RNAcentral lists this ribosomal RNA (468 nucleotides) under uncultured bacterium. RNAcentral describes it as "partial 16S ribosomal RNA". It matches the Rfam family "Bacterial small subunit ribosomal RNA", at positions 28 to 507 of the family's 1533-position model. The record is from RNAcentral.
GACGAACGCUGGCGGCGUGCUUAACACAUGCAAGUCGAACGGAAAGGCCCUGCUUUUGUGGGGUGCUCGAGUGGCGAACGGGUGAGUAACACGUGAGUAACCUGCCCUUGACUUUGGGAUAACUUCAGGAAACUGGGGCUAAUACCGGAUAGGAGCUCCUGCUGCAUGGUGGGGGUUGGAAAGUUUCGGCGGUUGGGGAUGGACUCGCGGCUUAUCAGCUUGUUGGUGGGGUAGUGGCUUACCAAGGCUUUGACGGGUAGCCGGCCUGGGAGGGUGACCGGCCCCAUUGGGCCUGAGAUACGGCCCAGACUCCUACGGGAGGCAGCAGUGGGGAAUAUUGCACAAUGGGCGGAAGCCUGAUGCAGCAACGCCGCGUGCGGGAUGACGGCCUUCGGGUUGUAAACCGCUUUCGCCUGUGACGAAGCGUGAGUGACGGUAAUGGGUAAAGAAGCACCGGCUAACUACGUG